UUAAUUUCAUUUUGGAAGUGCCAAAAGUCUUAAAUCAUAGUUUAAUAAUCAGAUAUGUAAACAUGGCACUAAUGCUAGACCAAGUAUUGCUACAUUCAGUUCAUUCCAACUUAUUUUUAUUCCAAGUUAGGUAAUAAUUUUAUCACACACACACACACGUGUGAUAUCUUUUUGCUGUGAUCUUCCACCGCUGCUGUGGAGACCGCCCCUUUCUGAACUGAAAGCAGGAGUAUUGAUGAUUUUUAUUAUUUUUUUAUUGUGCGUGUUAAACAGUGUGAUAUGUUGAGGAAUUGAUUACUGGCACACGUCUACUGAAUAGCAAGGAUCGUUAAGUCUUUAACGUGUUAUAGUUUACACCGGAGGAACUGCAAACAAUCUGAGAAAGGGAGAAACCCGUCAGCUACGAAAGGGCACACUUGGUCCAAAAAUGUACACACACUCCACAAAAACUCUGCAGUGCCUGAGGAGUGUUUACUCGCUCCAGUCUUCAGAAGGGAAACGACCUACAGAUUCACUUUUGAAAGACUUUCACAGGCAUCACAAACAUUUGUUUAUAUUACACUCGUAUCAAUUUGGCAGGUUUUUUUCUUCUUAAUCCGAAGCAACCACCACUUCUUUGUGUUUGUAUUUCACAAAUUUCCUUACCACAUCUUACAAGAGCUGCACGACAAUCACAACAAUCCUGUACAAUAGGCACAUCCUUUUCAUUAACACAAUCUCAGUGAAAUAUCUUCUGUCUGUUUACUUUACACGCAAACAAAACAACUCAAGCUGAGAACUUUAUUGCUGAUUCACGUUAUACCACACCGCCUUCGAAUUCUCCAGAACAUGCUCUAAUACUUUAUCGUUUCUAUAGCAACAGCCUACACAGGGAAUUGUAUGUUAUUAUAUUGUAUUGUAUUGUAUUAUAUUGCACUUCCAUCAAUCAUCAUUGCAACACCUGAUCCCUAGGUGGCGGUAAUGUACAACUCAGCACAGAAGAAGAAGAGGAGGAGGAGCUGGGGGAGAAAAAGCAAGGAAGAAGAGUGUUAAUGGUGUUUACUGCUCAUCUGGAGAGUCACCGCCAUCUUUCCGCAGGGGGUUAGAAGUGUAAUGAACAGAAUCUGCUGUUUGUCAAUAACUGGAAUCUGUUCUGGGAGCGUCCUAGGUUGUUUCGUCCUGAUGUCCUGCACCCCAGCAGCCUCGGAGCGGAACUGCUGUCUGACAACAUCUCCAAGACACUACACUCCAAGUGACUGUCUACCGUAAGCACAUCAUCUACAAUAACAAUGUUCAUCAUAAGCAAUGUUCAAUUAAUAGUCCAACACCUGUAGUACAUUCUAUAGAGACUGUGUCUGUUCCCCGAGCUAUACAAAUACAUAGACAAUUUCAGAAUGUUUGUUUUAGUAACCUAGUUAACCUAAAAUUAGAUCAUACAUCCAGCACCUUUAAUCUGAAGCUAGGACUAUUAAACAUUAGAUCUCUUGCGUCUAAGGCUCUUAUUGUUAACGACAUCAUUACUGAUCAGGAAUGUAAUUUAAUGUGUUUAACGGAAACUUGGAUUAAACCAAACGAGUACAUAGCAUGAAAUGAAGCAAGUCCUCCUGGAUACAGUUACGUACAUCAGCCUCGUUCAACUGGUAGAGGAGGAGGUGUUGGUCUCAUCCAUAGUAAAAAUCUAGGCGUGACACAAAAACCUAGUCAUAAAUUUAAUUCUUUUGAAAUUCUUUAUACCAGCAUAACUUAUGUAGCCACAAAAAAUAAGUCAAUUCCUCUAAUUAUUAUUUACAGACCCCCAGGGCCAUAUACUGAAUUUCCUAGUGAAUUUGCAGACUUUAUCUCAAACCUGGUUGUGUCUGUGGAUAAAGCAUUAAUCGUCUGAGACUUUAAUAUUCAUUUUAGAUAACCCAGAAGACCCUCUGAGAACAGCGGUUGUGUCCAUCUUAGAUUCAGUAGAGGUCAAUCAGAACGUAAUCGGACCUACUCAUAAUGGUCACACUCUUGACCUCAUACGUACGGAUUAAAUAUAGAAAACAUUGUAACACUUCCACAGUCUGAAGUUGUCUCCGAUCAUUAUCUCGUUCAUGAUACGUAUGGAUCAUAUUUCCACCUCGCCACCGCAUAAAAUGUACUUUCACAUCAGCUACUGCACCGAGCUUCAUCAAUAACCUCGCACAGACAUCAGUUAGAUUUGGAUCACCGUCUGAUCCGAUAGAACUCAAUCAGGCAACCGAAUCAACGCUCCGCUACACGCUAGAUCAGAGGUGCCCAAACUAGGGUCUGCGGGCCAAACUUGGCCCUUCACAGGAAAAAGUUUGGGCACCUCUGCGCUAGAUAGAUUAGAAAAUGUUGGAGAAGAUUUUUGAUAGAAAUAAAACACAAGGGCAAUAAAAUCUGGAGAAUGAGAAUUUAUUGAGAAUAAGGGAAAGAACAGAGUCACGCUCUCUUCCUUAUAGACAAUGUCUCUUAAAAGUUAACUACAGCAAGCCCUAGGGCCUGACCAAAAAGAGGAAGUGCAGCACACAGCACACACACCCAAGAGCAUGAACUCACUCACACACACACCCAGAGUAAUCAGAAUAACAACGUAAUUUCUAAUAAUUAUUUUACUAAAUCAUACAGUACAUAUGCUAAUAACAAUGCAGAAAAAGCACACAGGUGAUAAAUGUCCUCACUCAAAUACAUUUAUAAUCUGAGUAAUAACCCGAAGUAUAAUGAACUGCAAUGGGUAUUAACUGCAUUACCUUGAACAAACAUCUUCAAAUACCACACAAUGCUUAGUAUAAUGUGUUGCAAAUAGAGCUGCAACAACUAAUCCAUAAUAGUUGAUGAUAAUCGAUAAUGAAAAUCGUUGACUGAGCAACCCUCAUCGUGAGUCACAAAGUGCGCUUCAGCAGCGUGGCCCCCACUCACUACACACACACACACCUGUGUUCAUACAAGCCCGCUUUCUACACAACCCCGGAUCAUGCUGAUUGAUGAUGUAAGGAUUGAGGAUGUGGUCAUUUUCUUUAAUCGCACGUCUAUCAUUAAAGUAUCCGCAUCGUGUGAUCAAAAACGGAGAACGCGUGUUAAUUUGUUAACCAUUAAAACCAGUGCCAUUAUUGGUUCUUAAUGGUAUCCACUAGACACAACAUGCCACCAAAGCAACAAAUUACCAGUAGACCUACAGGGACAUUACAGAUUCUAUGGGGGUUUCUGUUGUGAUUGUUUUUUGUUUUGUUUUUUUCAGCAGGGAAAUUCCUAUUUCCAUUUUGGGAAUAAAUCUGAACAAAGUGUAACCAAAUAAUGAGCUAAUAAAAUUAUUUAUAUGUAAUUUGCAUUCAGUCUCUCAAUCUGGCAACAAUGAGAAGCUGUGUUUUUCUUUGUCUUUUACUUUUUUAUUUUUAUUUUUUAUUUUUUUAAGUGUACUGGAGGAAAAUACUAAAAUAGUUUUAUUUGAUUUAAAUGUAUUAAUUAUUGACAUCAUUGCCUACUGGAUUUCCUUUUUUAUUUUAGUAAUAAAUAUAUUUUAGUAAUAAAUCAUAGCAAACUGUGACUAAAUUCAUAAUGAACUAAUUAAUGCACAGAAGAAAAAAAAAAACAUGUUUCAAAUUGCACUCGAUUGUUCAAUCUGGCAACAAUGAGAAGCUUUUAUUAGUAUUUACAUAAACUUCUGGGGGAAAAUACUAGAAAAUACAUGUAAAUGGUAAAUGUCGCACUUAUAGCGCUUUUAUCCAAAGCGCUUUACACUGUCUCUCAUUCACCCAUUCACACACACAUGGUAGCAGAGCUGCCAUGCAAGGGGAUAACUUACCAUCGGGAGCAACUUGGGGUUCAGUGUCUUGCCCAAGGACACUUCGAAAUGUGGAGUCACCCGGGCCGGGAAUUGAACCGCCAACCCUACGAUUGGUGGACAAUCCAUUGUGGAUUCCUUUUUUUGCGCAUAAAACCGGUUUGCUCUUCAGAUAUAAGGGAUAACGUUCUCUAAACGAGAUGCCAUUACUUUCACCAACACCUUUACAUCUGCAUUAAGCAGAGACAGCGGCCUAUAAGAACCACAGGAGGACGGAUCCUUACCCUCCUUAAGAAGGAGAGCUAUAGUGGCUUGUGUCAGAGCAGGAGGCAAAGACCCACAUUCCAAGGAUUCGUUGAACACAGAUAAAAGCAAUGGAGCUAAUUUUCCAAUAGAUGCUUUAAACAAUUCAAUUGGAACCCGUCCGGGCCAGGAGCUUUGUUACACUGCAUAGUUUUAACUGAAUUCAAAUUUCUUCAAGAGAGUGGGGAGUCCAGUUGCAUGGCAGUAUUCGAAUCAAUAACAGGGGUACAAAGGUCUUGAAGAAAUGCAUUCACUUUAGUAUCGUCUGCAGGAAAUUCAGAUUUAUAAGGUGAAGAGUAAAACCAUUUAAAAGUAGCAUUAAUUUCCAUGGGCUCUGUAGUGACUAUAUUAUAAGUGUGCGUGUGCUAAUCUUAAACAAACCUGUGCGUGUGCUGUGACGGGAAAUACCGGUUUAAAGCGUGUUCGCAUUAAAGUCUUGCUGAAGGUGUUAAAUGUCACAGAGCCACACUCACGAGCAUCAUAAACCAGUUUAAAAAAUUAAUAAUGAUAAUUUCUGUGCCUUUGGUGAAAACUUUCAGAGCGUUUUAAAUCUGCACCAGCCUUUUGUAAAUGUACAGAAAGUAUAUAAUCCGUAUAUGUAAAAUAUUUAAAUAAAUAAAAAGCAGUGCUCGUGUUAUUACAGGAGGUGACAUUUUGUAGGAAAACGUGAAUAGUGAACGCGCCUCGGGGACGUGCACUGUAGGGUUGACAAAAGGCCAAAAACGCUUUAACAACAAGUUUCAGCUCCAGUUAAAGGAAAGUGCUGGACUCAAGUAGUUUUUUCCCCUACAAUGAUUCCUAGAUAACCGGUUUAGAUUACAAGUAAAAUAUACUAACUUGUUGAUUUGAUCAUAUCACAUUCCACAACACUGAUUAAACCUGAGGUUCUGAUUCUCACAGGGGCCUCUGUUACUGACUGUUUAACACUGUCUCAGUUCUGAGAUUCAUUUAAUGUUCAGUCGAAGUGAAUAAGUUUCAUAUUUAGUGUAAAAUAUUAGUGUAAUCCACCUGUUUCUAAAUUACAUUAUAUAGCACAUCUAUCAUGUGCACACUGAAAAUUCAAGUCCCAGAUGUUUCUAAAACUACACAACCGUGUGUAUAUAUGUAUAUUUUAUAUAAGUGUAUAUAUGUAUACAGGAAAUCACACACGCACCUCUACUGCAUCCUCCAGGAAACACGUGAAGGAAACUGUUGUGGAUAAAAAAUGUCAUAAAAUAAACAUAAGGGAGAAGAAGGAAAAACGGGCACCUAGACACGUAGAAGCGGGAUUAGGCGGACAUUGACAGAUUGGAAUUACGAGCAAUUUAAGAGCAGUAAUAGUCAAAAAAAGUCAAAAAGAAGUGUACGAGCUGAGGAGCGCUAAAAACACACACACACACACACUCGUGCAGUCAAGGGCGGGCAAGUAGACACAACAUACAUAAACACACAUGAAUAACUUUAAUAAUAUCUUAUAGUAAUAGAGAAACUCUAUAAAAAAACAGAAUAGUAGGAUAUGCAGGACAGUAGACCUGUAAUGAUAUUAAGAAGUUGGAAGUACAGUAAACCGCUUUUCAAGUAGUAUAAAUAUAUAUAAACUAAGAAAUAUAGUGCAAAUAUGAAAAUAAAUUAUAAACGAGAAAUACAGGAAAAAAAAGGAAAAUAUAACUUACUCAUGAUUCAGAUGGUGAAGAUUCUCGUCUCGCAAGGAAAGCCUUAAUUUUUAGAGAACCAUGAAGAAAGCCAGUUAUAAGGGUGGCUGCCCCCCCCCUCGAGAUAACGAUAAGACCAAGGUCCCUCCCGGUUGUUUAGUCGUCUUGCUUACGUCAUUUUUUUAACCUAGGGAAUUGAGAAUCCUGG
Long non-coding RNA from Ictalurus punctatus (channel catfish), 5896 nucleotides. RefSeq lists it as uncharacterized. The record is from RefSeq and is a predicted model, not a curated record. NCBI's taxonomy places the organism in Eukaryota, Metazoa, Chordata, Actinopteri, Siluriformes, Ictaluridae. The transcript is spliced from 2 exons.